Molecule: long non-coding RNA, 1054 nt
Organism: Lycium ferocissimum
Lineage: Eukaryota; Viridiplantae; Streptophyta; Magnoliopsida; Solanales; Solanaceae
Exons: 4
Source: RefSeq, a predicted model, not a curated record
UUGGUCUAUUUCCUAAUUCUAGAUAAAGCUGAUUCUUGCAGCUUUAUUAUUAUUAUUGUAAUUAUUUGUUGCAUUGAUCAUAUAUUUACAUUUUUAAUGCACACCAGGUUUUUGAAAAAAUGUCACCCUUAGAAAGUCAGACUUUCUUUGCACAAUUGUGCAGUAAAGAUUUCGAUUUUGUAUACAUUUUAAGUUCUUCCAGUGUACACUUAUGUUAAAGGGAACGCACAGUAUGCGCUUUGCAGGGAGGACAACUUCAAGUAGUUUCUACAAUGCAAAAGGAAUUAAUCGUGUGGCAUUGUAAUAGAAAUUGGAUGUUCUUCAAAGCUGUUUCUCAAAAUAUGUGAAUCUUCUUUCCCCUGUUCAAUCAAAGGUUCUGUAGAGUAUUGCACUAACACAUCUACUGUAAUCCUAAAUAGUUAGUUUCUCACAUGUGAUCAAUUACACUGUAGGGAUGCUUUUAACGGCAGUGAAUACGACUUUUCAUGAAUCCAUGGUGCAUGUCUAUGAUAAUCUUCAAUAUUUAACUUCUACAUGUAAUCUACUACAUUGUAGCGAUGAUAUAAAAGUUGAAUAUGGCAGGAAGAAGAAAAUUUUCAUGAAGCUGAAUGAUCAUCCAAUACAUAUUUGUGGCAGAGAAAUCCACCGGAAAUUUAGCCGUGGGAGCUAUAUUAUGGUGUAUUGCUUAUGAUGUUGCAAACAAUAAUUUCUCACAUAUUUUUUGACGUACAAGAUAAGCUGAAGUCAGCUCCAAAUUCAAUUGCUCUAGUGACGGUAAACAGCAUCUAGAUUCCAUAAAGUUCAUUAUCCCCAUUCGGUUCAACAGUUAUUCAACUAAGUCUCUCUUUAAUCUUUUGUGAGUACAUAAUAUAUUUGUCAAAAGGAGUUGCUGCCAUGCUGAUCAAGAAAGGAGUGUGCAACACAAAGAAUCUGGUAUAUUGUAUCAGCUUGAGUAUGAUGGGUCAUCUGAAUUGAGGGUAAUUUGAGUAGGUAUCAUUUCUCAUAUUUAUAUGUACUUUUUAGCUUUAUGGUUGAAAAAUGUUUGUGAAGAGCA